CACGUAGGGUGCAAGCGUUGUCCGGAAUUAUUGGGCGUAAAGAGCUCGUAGGCGGUUUGUCGCGUCUGCUGUGAAAUCCCGAGGCUCAACCUCGGGCCUGCAGUGGGUACGGGCAGACUGGAGUGCGGUAGGGGAGAAUGGAAUUCCUGGUGUAGCGGUGGAAUGCGCAGAUAUCAGGAGGAACACCGAUGGCGAAGGCAGUUCUCUGGGCCGUAACUGACGCUGAGGAGCGAAAGCGUGGGGAGCGAACAGG
This 253-nucleotide ribosomal RNA is filed under the name uncultured bacterium. RNAcentral's name for it is "partial 16S ribosomal RNA". It matches the Rfam family "Bacterial small subunit ribosomal RNA", at positions 524 to 776 of the family's 1533-position model. The record is from RNAcentral.